UGAUGUCGCUCCAAUCGAUAAACCUAACCAGUUUUUCGAGGAUGCUCAAUUUGGACUCUCUCAAUCGGUGGAGAAGACCUGAGCUGAUCUUUGCUUCAUAAACUUCGUUUGUCUUCAGUUUUGCCUCUCGGGCUGCUCCGUAUGCAGCCUGAGAAGAAUGCCUGCAGACGAUACCCAGGGCUGAAAAGAGCAGUGGGAGUAGCUGCUCAGACUUUGUCCCAGCGCCAGGAAGUCGCCGUCACACUGCCGACGCUGCGACGAGCCGAGGAGCUGCAGCUUCACACCAGUCAGUGAGUACAAACAGACAGUCUUGUUUGCCAGCAGGGACAGGUGGUGUCUCCUCCGAGUGUGACAACACACUGCAGGCGAUCUGGGAACAGCUCAGUCGCUAAGCAUUUAAUAAACCAGAGGCCCGAAACUCGGAGCAGGUCCAGGUCAGCUGGUCUCCGCCGAGUCCGCCAUCGUAACUGGAGUCACGAGGUUGGUUAUUAACUGGCUUUAUGGAUGGGAUCCUUCUGAUUACACCUGAAGCCGAAACCGAUCGGAAGACGACGAACCGAAUAAAGCAGCAAUCGCUGGUGUUAAUUCACCGAACCGGACUGAGGCGGCUUCGGGCCGAACCACCGGCGACUUGAUUCUUUCUUUACAUUUCAGAUUGAAACGGUGCCUUCAGGUGUCACGUCAGGCUGUCGGGAUAUUAGAGUACUCGGACUCCAGCUGCUGACAGAUAAAAUCCCUCAUCAUGAAGUCUUCAUCAUCAUCAUCAUCGGUGACCUCUGCCUCAGCGACGGCUGGACUAGACGCUCAGCUCCUCUCCUCUCUGCAGAGUCCAGGGCUGCAAGCGGAGUUUCUGGAAGAGGGUCGGAGCAAGUCUCAGUCUGGCAGCGACUUCGGUGAAUCCGGGGUCCCUUCCCCCGCCACCCCCCCCUCCUCUCCCCGGAGCUCCUCGUCCUCCUCGUCUUCUCCCCGCUACGGCGGCAGACAAGGUGAAAAGAGCCUGGAUCCGUUUUUAGCAGCGUGGCUGUUGACAGGAAACGGCCCUCUGUGCUGGAGAGGCAACAUCACAGCGGUACUGACAGUGUCUCCCGUUUCCGUAAGACAGACAAACUGAACAGGAAACAACACAGCCUCCGCCUGUGGACAGAGACAGGUCUGACGAUCUAUUCACCAGAUCCUGUUUACAUUAAACAAACGUUCAGAGGCUGCUCGUCUGUCCCUGUCCAGCCCCGAGCUCCUCUCAGAGCUGAGGGAGUCCAGGACCCGCCCCCUCCGACAUGUCCCCGCCCACAACGGACUGACCCUCAUCUUCUCUGGACAGGGAGGACAGGCCUCUGCUCCCGCACUUUCCACACGACCAGCCAAUCAGAUGACUUCACACUGACUCUGUCACCACCUGGACCUCAAACCGUCACGGACUCUGCUGUCCUAUAACUAAUUCUGCUUUAAUGAUCAAUGUCCACGUCGUCUCAAACUGAACAAUACCCCUGAAACUGUAGAGGACACUGACUCUGAUUAGCAUCAGACCCUGCUGUGGGCCCCGCCCUCCUCAGGUACCGUUGCUGUCCUGUCAUGUGAUAAACAGUGUGAGAAGCUCACGCACGGCUCGGGGGGGUUUCCAGUUGGUCGGUGAUACAUGUUUUUGGGGCAAAUGGCCAAUCGUGUUUCAGUUUAUAUGUCUGCCUCCUACUGUACAACAUAUUUUCUAGUCCUCAGCCCAUCAGCGUUUGUGUGCUUAUUUUUCAUAACAGCUCCAAGUUACUGCUCUUGACACCAGAGCGGCUUUGGUUGCCUACACAAAGGUUCCAUAGUUACGGUUCAGUUCACUGUCUGACUGUCAUUGUAAUCCCCCUGAAUUAUCCUACAGCCGCCCACUGUUUCUCUGCCAAACCCGGCAACACCCCCGAGAGUUCAGGCAGCUCCCGUGUCACUGCCAUGUUGAGAAUAAUUAGGAAAGUGUGCGAUUAGUCGACUAAACGACGAACCGUUGCCGGCCUCGCUGGUCAGCUAAACGAAUGAAUAUUUGAUUCAUGUACAGCGCCGAGUAACUGUAGCAGCUAAGGCGUUAUGCGGCCGCCCGCCGCUAGCGGGGGCUGCGGCCCCGACAGACGGCAGCCUGGAUGUUGGAGACAUCUGGCAAAACCAGCGCGGUUUGACGGCAUCUUGACGGAGACAAUGAAAACAGGAUAAACCGGCAUCUAACCAACCGCCCGGAGCAACGUUAACCACGUCCAGUACAGCCCAGGAAAGGAGGCUGCUGGUCCCGCACCGCUAACUGCCGCUGGGCGUUCGGGGAUCACGUGGCAUGAAACUUGGUUUACGGGUUCGUGGUCCGUUGAGGGCUCGACUCCGUCCGUCGUCGCCUGGUCGGUCUGGUUUGUUGGGGGCGGGUUUGCAUCGUAGUGAGGAUGUUGGAGGACUGAUAAAGCCGUUGGGCAGUGGAUGGCGCUCGGGUGAACUUCUGAAUCACUUGUGUUUACAGCAGCAACAGAAACAUCCGGCGUUGCCAACGGACGGUGAAUGAACGGUGUCGCGUGUGCUGGGAAAGUCGGCCCGUACCUACCUGAGCAGGUGGUACGUUCCAGUUAGCUGCGCAGGUAAAUGCCAGUCAGUGGCCAAUGGGGAGGAGAGCAGGUGGUGCUGAUUUGAGUUUUUGGUGGCUACGGUUGAAGUUAUUUUUGUUGAAUUUCAU
Xiphias gladius (swordfish) is the source of this 2689-nucleotide RNA transcript. It is a transcript of the gene named putative protein TPRXL, with no coding region annotated. The record is from RefSeq and is a predicted model, not a curated record. NCBI's taxonomy places the organism in Eukaryota, Metazoa, Chordata, Actinopteri, Istiophoriformes, Xiphiidae. The transcript is spliced from 5 exons.